This 482-nucleotide long non-coding RNA is filed under the name Nicotiana benthamiana. Its description in RNAcentral is "long non-coding RNA (NBEN_LNC010049)". The record is from RNAcentral. Lineage: Eukaryota; Viridiplantae; Streptophyta; Magnoliopsida; Solanales; Solanaceae.
UCCUCAAUGAUGAGAAACAAAGACAAGUCCAGUCUUCUUCUCACUUUAAUCCAGACUCUGUCUCUUUCAAUGUACAUACUUAUAGGCAGCCUGCUGGAUUUACCAAGGCCAUAGUGCCUGUUCCUCCUUUCCCUUUCAGACAGAGAGUCAAUUUUGACCAGGCUAGAGGACAUUUAUUCUGUAGAUACUGUAAAAAAUCUGGACACUUAAUUGAUAAGUUCUUCAAGAUCCAUGGGUAUCCACAAAGUAACACUUUUAACAAGGGAAGGAGACCUGCUGCUGCUCAUUUAAGUACUGGUCUGGAUUCUCCUCAUUCUACAAAGUAACACUUUUAACAAGGGAAGGAGACCUGCUGCUGCUCAUUUAAGUACUGGUCUGGAUUCUCUUCAUUCUGAUGGUCUUCUGUCUGUUCCUCAAGGGAAUCCUGCUGAUAGCCAUCAAUCUGUUGCAAGAAUUGAUGGCCAGACCUCUGUGAUACCAGG